UCAAGUGUUAUCCACUUAUGAUAUUACUUGAUGCAUGUUUCAUGUAUAUACAAAUUAUUGAAGUGUACUAAUUGAAUCUAGAGAAUUUUAAAUGGUUUAAACUGGAUGCUUCGAUUCAUGUAGCUUGUUUUAAAUGUCCUGUCUUGUGUUGCAGAUUUGUUUGGAAUAAAAGACAUCUAGCUGUGGUAUUUAGUGCUUAAAUGUAAUAUAAGCAAAUUAAGUGGUUAGAACAAAAGCAAACUAGUUGAAUGCCUUGUCAUUAUUGCUGGCAUAUAGUGCAGGACCCGACUACUUUCAUCUCAUUUAAGGGUGGAAUCGAGAAAGCCAGAAUGAUUUUCAUCAGCUGAACCAAUAUCUCGUUUACGAAUUGAAUGAUUUUCAUCAGCUGAACCAAUAUCUCCUGAUGCACGCCUGCAUAUUGUUUCUGAGCAUGUUGACAUUAUUGAUAAUCUCAUCUUUCCCAUUUCGAUAGGUCCUCCAAAUUCGAAGAUUAUAAAAUCACCGGACAAGAGUACAUGGACUCCAAAAAACUGUAGAUGAUUCUGUUUUGGCUGACAAGUCUGCAUUGGUAUUGUUCCACCUCAUUUCUAAGAGCAUUUUGUUUUAAGAGAGCGUCUGUUGACCCAACUGGGGAUUAUAGCACACAGCAUUUGCCUAUUGCGGUGAGGAGAGAGGCUGUUGAAUCUGAAGGUUGUCUGAAGCUCUUUUUUGGGUCUGAGAAGAUUAAAUCUCAAGUGGAAGUUCAUCAAUCGAUCUCUCAACCGAGUAGAUCAAAUCUAUUGCAGUUGGGAAUCAUCGGUUGUUUAUGGUGCAUUGCUGAAAAUUUAAUUUAGAUUCUCAGACCCAAAAAAGGGACUCGAGAGCUAAGUCAGAAUCUUUUUGUGGGUGUGCUCCGAGCAGCAAUCAAAAUCAAAGGUAACUGAGAUCUUGAAGCUGAUAAGAAGAGAAUUAAGUGCAGUAAUGAUCUGUCCUUUGACUUGGUAAAUUUUACAUGCCAAUCAACUUUGUCAUUGAUAAGCAUUGGGGAAAGCGUAAUGAACUCCCAAGGUAAUUUCACCUUCAACCAGAUGUGUCAUUUUUUCAGAUGAGUAUACUGAAGUUUUGUGAAAUUAAAUGCAUGCUUUGCUUGAUACUGCUGAUUUCAAAAAAUUAAAGCUGUCUGUGCAGUCACAAAGAACCAAAUGCAUUACAUAAUGAAUAGAGACUACAGAAAUGCCAGCAUAAUGAAUG
Long non-coding RNA from Rosa chinensis, 1230 nucleotides. RefSeq lists it as uncharacterized. NCBI's taxonomy places the organism in Eukaryota, Viridiplantae, Streptophyta, Magnoliopsida, Rosales, Rosaceae. The transcript has 4 exons. The record is from RefSeq and is a predicted model, not a curated record.